AACGCCUUACUUUUCUUCUCCGGAAGAGAAUGCAAUUUUAGAUGAUGUCUUUGAUCGGGCCGCAAACGAACCCAUAAAAACAAAGAAUAACAAAAGUAAUACGUUUUUAUGUGCACAACGGUUAUCAAGAAAACGAAGACAAGGUAUCAAUACUUUUGGGAUAUUCCAACAGACAAGUAGAAUUCCAACAUCUCUCCUAAAUCCCUGUCAACCUGGCGGUCGAAACGGAAAUAAUUUCAAGUGUGCAAAUCCUUUGGUUCCUAGUAGACCCAUACGUGACGUUAGUAAGCCUGUCAGUCCUGCUUUCGGUUGCCGACCAAAUGAUUUCUUGCGAGCUACUGGACAAUGCGGUAGCAACCGUGUGCCAGCUAGCUGCGGACCUUCUUACAAAUUCAUCAAAGCUACAAACCAAUGUAGACCAAUUCGCUUUUGAAUCAAAUUCGCUUUGUAAUUAAAGAAUAUAGUGGAUAAUCCUGAAAUUCAACACAACUAAUUUCGUAAUUGAUGCGAAAAUACAAGUUUCUUAAUAUCGUA
Molecule: long non-coding RNA, 534 nt
Organism: Daphnia pulicaria
Lineage: Eukaryota; Metazoa; Arthropoda; Branchiopoda; Diplostraca; Daphniidae
Exons: 2
Source: RefSeq, a predicted model, not a curated record